GACGAACGCUGGCGGCGUGCUUAACACAUGCAAGUCGAACGGAAAGGCCCUGCUUUUGUGGGGUGCUCGAGUGGCGAACGGGUGAGUAACACGUGAGUAACCUGCCCUUGACUUUGGGAUAACUUCAGGAAACUGGGGCUAAUACCGGAUAGGAGCUCCUGCUGCAUGGUGGGGGUUGGAAAGUUUCGGCGGUUGGGGAUGGACUCGCGGCUUAUCAGCUUGUUGGUGGGGUAGUGGCUUACCAAGGCUUUGACGGGUAGCCGGCCUGAGAGGGUGACCGGCCACAUUGGGACUGAGAUACGGCCCAGACUCCUACGGGAGGCAGCAGUGGGGAAUAUUGCACAAUGGGCGGAAGCCUGAUGCAGCAACGCCGCGUGCGGGAUGACGGCCUUCGGGUUGUAAACCGCUUUCGCCUGUGACGAAGCGUGAGUGACGGUAAUGGGUAAAGAAGCACCGGCUAACUACGUGCCAGCAGCCGCGGUGAUACGUAGGGUGCGAGCGUUGUCCGGAUUUAUUGGGCGUAAAGGGCUCGUAGGUGGUUGAUCGCGUCGGAAGUGUAAUCUUGGGGCUUAACCCUGAGCGUGCUUUCGAUACGGGUUGACUUGAGGAAGGUAGGGGAGAAUGGAAUUCCUGGUGGAGCGGUGGAAUGCGCAGAUAUCAGGAGGAACACCAGUGGCGAAGGCGGUUCUCUGGGCCUUUCCUGACGCUGAGGAGCGAAAGCGUGGGGAGCGAACAGGCUUAGAUACCCUGGUAGUCCACGCUGUAAACGGUGGGUACUAGGUGUGGGGUCCAUUCCACGGGUUCCGUGCCGUAGCUAACGCUUUAAGUACCCCGCCUGGGGAGUACGGCCGCAAGGCUAAAACUCAAAGGAAUUGGCGGGGCCCCGCACAAGCGGCGGAGCAUGCGGAUUAAUUCGAUGCAACGCGUAGAACCUUACCUGGGUUUGACAUGGAUCGGGAGUGCUCAGAGAUGGGUGUGCCUCUUUAUGGGGUCGGUUCACAGGUGGUGCAUGGCUGUCGUCAGCUCGUGUCGUGAGAUGUUGGGUUAAGUCCCGCAACGAGCGCAACCCUUGUUCACUGUUGCCAGCACGUUAUGGUGGGGACUCAGUGGAGACCGCCGGGGUCAACUCGGAGGAAGGUGGGGAUGACGUCAAGUCAUCAUGCCCCUUAUGUCCAGGGCUUCACGCAUGCUACAAUGGCUGGUACAGAGAGUGGCGAGCCUGUGAGGGUGAGCGAAUCUCGGAAAGCCGGUCUCAGUUCGGAUUGGGGUCUGCAACUCGACCUCAUGAAGUCGGAGUCGCUAGUAAUCGCAGAUCAGCAACGCUGCGGUGAAUACGUUCCCGGGGCU
This 1347-nucleotide ribosomal RNA is filed under the name uncultured bacterium. RNAcentral describes it as "partial 16S ribosomal RNA". It matches the Rfam family "Bacterial small subunit ribosomal RNA", at positions 28 to 1381 of the family's 1533-position model. The record is from RNAcentral.